Molecule: long non-coding RNA, 406 nt
Filed under: Olea europaea subsp. europaea
Lineage: Eukaryota; Viridiplantae; Streptophyta; Magnoliopsida; Lamiales; Oleaceae
Source: RNAcentral
CUCAAAAUACCCUUUCUAUCUAUAUCUAAUCUAAGUAAAAUGGUGUCUCGAGUUGAAGAAGCCAUGAAAAAGAAACAGCAGCAGCAGCAGCAGCAGGAAGUGAACAAGGCCAAAGAAACUUAUCAGCAACAUCUGCAAAAGCAGAUAGUUCAAUGCAACAAAGGGAAAACCAGCAAGUUCAAAAGAAGCAUUUAUAAUCUUCAAGAAGAUGGUGCUUCUUCUGCUAUUUUCUUCCUUGCUUGCAUUGCAAACUCUACCUCCUAUGUUUCAAUUUGAUUUUAAUUUAGUUUCAAGUACCUAGCUAGCUAGCUGGAUUCUGAAAAUUAAUUAGUAUAAUCCAUUAUCUUGUUUGUUUGAGUUAAACUUGUAUUCAGUUGGUUGAAAUUAUAAGUUUGUUUUUAUAUGU